UGCAUCGUUCAUAUCAGACUGAAAGAGCCCGUUCUCGUCCGCUCCCUGAAGGUUAACACUCUUGAGCGCAACUAGUAUUGGGUUGGGUGACCACCUGAGAAUCCUGCGUGACGAUGUGU
Coccomyxa subellipsoidea C-169 is the source of this 119-nucleotide ribosomal RNA. NCBI's taxonomy places the organism in Eukaryota, Viridiplantae, Chlorophyta, Trebouxiophyceae, Coccomyxaceae. The record is from Rfam.